GAGUUUGAUCCUGGCUCCGAAUGAACGCUAGCAAGAUGCUUUACACAUGCAAGUCGAAUGUUUUUUUAUCUUAAAGAACAUGGCGUCCGGGUGAGUAUUGGAUAGGUAGAUGCUUCAUAGUCGGGAAAAUAAAGGUGUCUGCGACCGACAUUUAAAAAGUCCGAUCUUUGUUUUUAAGGAACAAAGGCAAAUUUUGUUGUGUCGAACCCUUUUUUGUUGGGUUUCGAAUCAAAAAACUAUGAAAUUUUCCUAUUCGAGAUUAGAUAGUUGGUGAGAAAAAAGCCCACCAAAUCAAUGAUCUCUCGCCGACGUGAAAGCGCGAACGGCCACACUGGAACUGAGAAAAGGUCCAGCGCCUACUAAGGUGCAGCAGUGAGGAAUCUUGGACAAUGAGCGAAAGCUUGAUCCAGCAAUCUUGCAUGAGUGAUGAAGACACAAGUUUAAUCGUUGUAAAACUCUUUCGUCGAGGAAGAUUAUGACUUUACUCGGAAAAGAAGUCCUGGCUCAUUUCCGUGCCAGCAGCAGCGGUAAUACGGAAGGGGCGAGCGUUAUUCCUAAUUAUUGGGCGUAAAGCGCACGUAGGCUGUUCAUUAGGUUUAAAUGAAAAUCCCAAGGCUCAACUUUGGACAUUGUUUAAAAACCGAUAAACUUUGAGUUUCAAAAAGGAUAAUGGAAUUUCUGGUGGAGAGGUUAAAUUCAUAGAUACUAGAGGGAAGACCAAGAGCCGAGGCAAUUAUCUAGUUGUAAACUGACGCUAAUGUGCGAAAGUGUGGGGAGCAAAUUGGAUUAGAUACCCAAGUAGUCCACACUGUGAACGAUGAGUGUUAAAUAUUGGGCUCCAAAGAGUUCAGUGUUGAAAGCUAACGCCUUAAACACUCCGCCUGGGAACUACGGCCGCAAGGUUGAAACUCAAAGGAAUUGGCGGGGAUUAGAACAAGCGGUGGAAUAUGUGGUUUAAUUCGAUAAAACGCGCAGAACCUUACCAGUUCUUGACAGUUGAUUCAAGACACUUUUCCAUGUUAAAUUUUGGAGAGCAUCGUACGCAAUCGUGAAUUGCAACUUGAAUCAUUUGUAACAGGUGUUGCAUGGCUAUCUGAAGUUCGUGUCGUGAAAUGUUUGGUUAAGUCCUUUUAACGAACGCAACCCUUAUUCAUGUUGUUUAUCCAACAGGCACAAAUCUUUUGCGCGCCCUUUUGUAGGCUUUUGGUAUCUGUGUUGAACAAUAAGCCUGCCAAAGAGCUUGUAUACAGACUUUGUUGCUCUGCAACUAUAUGGAUACACUCUCGAAAAUAGCCGGUGAAAGCUGGAUUAAAGUAAGGAUCACGUUAAGUCCUCAUGACCCUUAUGAACUGGGCUACACACGUAUUACAAUGGCAAUUACAAUUUGAUGCAAUAACGCAAGUUGGAGCAAAUCUUUAAAAAUUGUCCAAGUUCGGAUUGUUUUCUGCAACUCGAAAGCAUGAAGCUGGAAUCGCUAGUAAUCGUAGAUCAGCAUGCUACGGUGAAUAUGUAAACUAAUCUUGUACACACCGCCCGUCAAGUCCCGGAAAUCAGUCGAACUCGAAAGAAAUAGCUUAUUUUGAUAUCUUGGGGGGUGGUCUUCGACACGUGGAGCGCCUUGCUUAUAACGCCUAAGGUCUCUUUGUAAGUAUUUCUCAUAGUACCGCUAAUAACUGGGAUUAAGUCGUAACAAGGUAGUCCUAGGGGAACCUGGGGCUG
This 1719-nucleotide non-coding RNA is filed under the name Marophrys sp. SRT127. Its description in RNAcentral is "small subunit ribosomal RNA". It matches the Rfam family "Bacterial small subunit ribosomal RNA". The record is from RNAcentral. Lineage: Eukaryota; Centroplasthelida; Acanthocystida.